RNAcentral lists this ribosomal RNA (253 nucleotides) under uncultured bacterium. RNAcentral's name for it is "partial 16S ribosomal RNA". It matches the Rfam family "Bacterial small subunit ribosomal RNA", at positions 524 to 776 of the family's 1533-position model. The record is from RNAcentral.
UACGAAGGGGGCUAGCGUUGCUCGGAAUCACUGGGCGUAAAGGGUGCGUAGGCGGGUCUUUAAGUCAGGGGUGAAAUCCUGGAGCUCAACUCCAGAACUGCCUUUGAUACUGAAGAUCUUGAGUUCGGGAGAGGUGAGUGGAACUGCGAGUGUAGAGGUGAAAUUCGUAGAUAUUCGCAAGAACACCGGUGGCGAAGGCGGCAUCCUGGACCAACAUUGACGCUGAGGAGCGAAAGCUAGGGGAGCAAACGGG